CCUACGGGCGGCAGCAGUGAGGAAUAUUGGUCAAUGGGCGGAAGCCUGAACCAGCCAAGUAGCGUGCGGGAUGAAGGCCCUACGGGUCGUAAACCGCUUUUGCACGGGGAUAACACCCUCCACUUGUGGAGGUCUGCAGGUACCGUGCGAAUAAGGGCCGGCUAAUUCCGUGCCAGCAGCCGCGGUAAUACGGAAGGCCCGAGCGUUAUCCGGAUUCAUUGGGCUUAAAGGGAGCGUAGGCGGAGGGUCAAGUCAGCGGUAAAAUUGCGGGGCUCAACCCCGUCGUGCCGUUGAAACUGACGCCCUUGAGUGAGUGAGAAGCAAGCGGAAUGCGUGGUGUAGCGGUGAAAUGCAUAGAUAUCACGCAGAACGCCGAUUGCGAAGGCAGCCUACCGGCGCUCAACUGACGCUGAGGCACGAAAGUGCGGGUAUCGAACAGGAUUAGAUACCCUUGUAGUC
Molecule: ribosomal RNA, 459 nt
Filed under: uncultured bacterium
Lineage: Bacteria
Description: partial 16S ribosomal RNA
Rfam family: Bacterial small subunit ribosomal RNA
Source: RNAcentral